Molecule: ribosomal RNA, 253 nt
Filed under: uncultured bacterium
Lineage: Bacteria
Description: partial 16S ribosomal RNA
Rfam family: Bacterial small subunit ribosomal RNA
Source: RNAcentral
UACAGAGGGUGCAAGCGUUAAUCGGAAUUACUGGGCGUAAAGCGCACGCAGGCGGUUGGUUAAGUCAGAUGUGAAAGCCCCGGGCUCAACCUGGGAAUUGCAUUUGAAACUGGCCAACUAGAGUACGUGAGAGGGUGGUAGAAUUCCAAGUGUAGCGGUGAAAUGCGUAGAGAUUUGGAGGAAUACCAGUGGCGAAGGCGGCCCCCUGGCACAACACUGACGCUCAGGUGCGAAAGCGUGGGGAGCAAACAGG